GCAUUAAACAUGUAUAAGACGCUCUGGAUAAGAGCGUCUGCUAAAUGACUAAAA
This is a non-coding RNA of Salmo salar (Atlantic salmon), 54 nucleotides long. NCBI's taxonomy places the organism in Eukaryota, Metazoa, Chordata, Actinopteri, Salmoniformes, Salmonidae. The record is from Rfam.